AAACCCUUUAACGAGGACCUAUGAGAGGGCAAGUCUGGUGCCAGCAGCCGCGGUAAUUCCAGCUCUCAAGGUGUAUAUCGCCAUUGCUGCGGUUAAAAAGCUCGUAGUUGGAUCUGCGCCUUCGGACUCGGUCCACCCAACGGGUGCGAACUGAGCUCCGAGGCUACUACUGCUGGUUUUCCCUUGAUGCUCUUCACUGGGUGUCUUGGGUGGCUAGCGAGUUUACUUUGAAAAAAUUAGAGUGCUCAAAACAGGCUAUUGCCUGAAUACCGGUGCAUGGAAUAAUAGAAUAGGAUCUCGGUCCUAUUUUGUUGGUUUUCGGAACUGAGAUAAUGGUUAAGAGGGACAGACGGGGGCAUUCGUAUCGCUGCGUGAGAGGUGAAAUUCUUGGACCGCAGCGAGACGCCCAACUGCGAAAGCAUUUGCCAAGAAUGUCUUCGUUAAUCAAGAACGAAAGUCAGAGGUUCGAAGGCGAUCAGAUACCGCCCUAGUUCUGACCGUAAACGAUGCCAACUAGCGAUCCGCCGGUGGUAAUUACGCCCCGGCGGGGAGCUUCCCGGAAACGAAAGUCUUCCGGUUCCGGGGGAAGUAUGGUUGCAAAGCUGAAACUUAAAGGAAUUGACGGAAGGGCACCACCAGGAGUGGAGCUUGCGGCUUAAUUUGACCCAACACGGGAAAACUCACCCGGCCCGGACACCGUAAGGAUUGACAGAUUGAGAGCUCUUUCUUGAUUCGGUGGUUGGUGGUGCAUGGCCGUUCUUAGUUGGUGGAGCGAUUUGUCUGGUUUAUUCCGAUAACGAACGAGACUCUGGCCUACUAACUAGUGACAGAAUUAUUGCUGUUCUGGUUACUUCUUAGAGGGACAAGUGGUGUUCAGCCACACGAAAUUGAGCAAUAACAGGUCUGUGAUGCCCUUAGAUGUCCGGGGCUGCACGCGUGCUACACUGGAGGAAACAGCAUGCGAAACCAUUGCCGAGAGGCAUUGGUAAACCCGAGAAAAUCUUCCGUGAUCGGGAUCGGGAAUUGCAAUUAUUUCCCUUGAACGAGGAAUUCCCAGUAAGUGUGGGUCAUCAGCUCGCGCUGAUUACGUCCCUGCCCUUUGUACACACCGCCCGUCGCUGCCCGGGACUGAGCCGUUUCGAGAAAAGCGGGGACUGCUGCUGUUGGGGCUUUCGGGCCUUGGCUUCGGUGGAAACCGCUU
This 1201-nucleotide ribosomal RNA is filed under the name metagenome. RNAcentral describes it as "SSU rRNA". It matches the Rfam family "Eukaryotic small subunit ribosomal RNA", at positions 527 to 1759 of the family's 1831-position model. The record is from RNAcentral.